RNAcentral lists this unclassified non-coding RNA (337 nucleotides) under soil metagenome. RNAcentral describes it as "partial contains 5.8S ribosomal RNA, internal transcribed spacer 2, and large subunit ribosomal RNA". The stretch from base 1 to 120 matches the Rfam family "5.8S ribosomal RNA", at positions 35 to 154 of the family's 154-position model. The record is from RNAcentral.
GAUGAAGAACGCAGCGAAAUGCGAUAAGUAGUGUGAAUUGCAGAAUUCAGUGAAUCAUCGAAUCUUUGAACGCACAUUGCGCCCCUUGGUAUUCCAUGGGGCAUGCCUGUUCGAGCGUCAUUUGUACCUUCAAGCUCUGCUUGGUGUUGGGUGUUUGUCUCGCCUCUGCGCGUAGACUCGCCUCAAAUCAAUUGGCAGCCGGCGUAUUGAUUUCGGAGCGCAGUACAUCUCGCGCUUUGCACUCAUAACGACGACGUCCAAAAGUACAUUUUUACACUCUUGACCUCGGAUCAGGUAGGGAUACCCGCUGAACUUAAGCAUAUCAAUAAGCGGAGGA